AUCCAGCUGAUGAGUCCCGAAUGUGACGAAACGCGCGUCCUGGAU
RNAcentral lists this non-coding RNA (45 nucleotides) under Schistosoma margrebowiei. Lineage: Eukaryota; Metazoa; Platyhelminthes; Trematoda; Strigeidida; Schistosomatidae. The record is from RNAcentral.